CAACAAUUUAAAAAAAUUACAAAGCACAAACACAUACCACUUUUACAUGGAAAAUAUGGCCUGUUCAAAUUUUAAAAAAUUGACACAAACCAUCACCAAGGAAGCCCAGAUAUUGGACUUACUAGAUAAGGUCUUGUUGUUGAGAACAGAAUAUCUUAAUAUUAUAAUGUGAUAGCUCUGGAAAUCGAAUUCUCCACCUUCCUCAGCAUUUACUUUUCACUGUUUGUCUGUAAUCAUCUUUUGACCCAGUAACUUUCCCAUCCCUCUUGCCCAGAGACCCGAUCCCCUGUCAGGUGUGCCCCUGGUGCUCAGCGAGGGUGUGGACCGGGGCUGCCUUGCCUGACAGGCACGCAGACCUCGCCUGCCUCCUUUGGUCCUCUCCUCGAAGCUCUGCACUGUGAUUCGCAUUCUGAGCACCGGGAUCAGCCAAAGAUGAACCCUAAGGUCUCUCCAGGACUUUUCUGCGCAUGAAUCUCGUCAUGGGUGUGGGUGUGGCUUUGCAAAUUCUCCUGGAUACACCUGCACUUUUGAAUGCCCUGAGUCUCCAAAGAAAUUCUCUCCCUGAUCUUUUCUCCCACUGCGUGGGUCAUCUGUCGGGUCUCAGUCUUGCUACAGGUUGUUUCCCGCCAUCCAAUGCGCCAAGAGUGCUGGUCUUCACCGUGCGCACACGAGCCUCAGCCUGUGUACUGACCCCUCGCCCCGCAGGUGCAGACUUUCCAGCUUCACCACGGGCACCCGGCAUUCCCAGUCGACUCUCUGUAUGGACUUGCCUGUGACGUUGCCCUGGGCCCCACGCCUCUGAGUGGUCUCAGCAACAGCACCUGUCUCCAAACACAGCCACAUUCAGCGUUGGUGCCAGGUAAUGUGGCAGAGCAAACCUGCGGCAUCACCUGGAGGGAGCAAAGAGAGAGGAGGACUGGGGAUCUGGAUCUCCUCACCCGCUCUUAGCCAAAAGGCUGGGCCUCCACCAAGCCACGUCCUCGAAGAGCUGCAGGCCUCCUGCCAGGCCCCUCCUUUGGGUCCACAGCACCUCCCAUAGCAGCGCCCUGGCACCUGCAGAGACCACAGGACUCCGAGGGUAGCAAAUGUCUAUGCAAACCUGCAGCUGGCAUCAGCCUCAAUGGUGAAAGGCUAAAUGCUUUCCUUAAAAUAGGGAACAAGGGGCGAAUCUGCUCACACCACCGCUAUUUAAUGUAGUAUAAGUAGGGGCCAACAGCGUAGGCAAAGAAAGCAAAAAACGCCCAGAGCAGAAAUGACUGUUCCUAUUUGCAGACGACAUAAUAACUGAAGAAAUGUCUCACAAGAAAUUUAUAAAAAACAAAAAACCAAAACACUCCUAAAAAUAAAUUCAUCCUUCACAAAAUAGAAAUACAAUUGAUUUUUGUAUAUUAUCUUCUAUCCGCUAUGAAAGAACACAAACACUGAAAUUUAAUAUGUCAUCUGCCAUUAUUUAACAAAAAUUGAACACUUAUGUGUAAAUCUAACAAAACAUGCACUAGAUUUGCUUGCCGAAAAGGACACAACACCAAUGAAGUGAAUGAGAAAAGAUCUGAGUAAAUGGAGAGGACACGGGCUUGUGACUGGGUAGAUGCAACCUAAUAAAGAUCUGACUCUCUCCAAAUGGCAAGAUCGGUGCAAUUUCUAUUAAAAUCCUAGCAAGGAUUCUGUAGGUAUUAGUUAUUCAAAACUUAUAUGAGAAAGCAAAAGAAUCACUAAGAUGAAUUUGAAAAAGAAGAAUGAAGCCAGAGUAAUCGGUCUGCCCAAUUCCAAGACUUUUUUUUUUUAACCAAGGUAAGGGAGCAACUCAGCUGUGGAGAGAGAGCCUUUCCCACACACGGCCACCCACAGGCCAACAAGCGACUCUCAAGCUUCACAUCUUAUUCAAACAUUAUUUCAAAGGAGGACGCAGACUUAAGUAUAAAAUAACAUCACCACCACCCCCGUGUUCAGAAAAGAGGAGAAAAUCUGUGGUUUGUGGAAUGAGGCAAGAAGUUCUUAGACUGGACAUGAAAAGCAUGAUCCAUAAAAGGAAAAAUUGGUAAGUUGGACUGAAUCAAAACUUACAACUUUUGUUCUGCAAAAGACCAUGGCAGGAGGACUAACUAUAGUUAUAAUAAUUUGUUAUGGAAUACACAAUAUAAAUAGACAGAAAACACAAAAUCAGUGCAUAAAAUGUGGGGUGGGGAAGAAGUAAAAAUGUAGUCUUUGUAUGCAUUCAAAGUCAAGCUGUUGCUAGCUUAAAUUAGAAUAUUAUAACUAUACAUGUUUUAUGUAAGCCUCAUGAUAACCGCAAAGAAAAAAUCCUCUAGUAGGUACACAAAAAAUAAAGAGAAUGAAAUCAAAUCAUACCAGCACAAAAAUGGAACAAAUCAUAAAGGAAGACAGCAAGACCGGUAGAAAGGAAAAAGAAACCACAAAACAGUUGGCAAUAGUAAGUCAUGACCUGUCAAUAAUUCCUUUAAAUAUAGAUAACAUCUCUCAUCAAAAGAUAGAGUGGCCAAAUGGAUUUUUUAAAAUCCAAGAAUAUGCUGCCAAUAAGAGACUCAGUUUGCCUUAAGGAUACACAUGGGCCAAAGGGAAGGAAUGGGAAAAGCUAUUCCAGGCACAUGGAACCUAAAACCAGUCAAGGAUGGUUGUAUUUAUAUCAGACAAAACCAAUUUUAAGUUAAAAAAAAUUGUAAAAGGAGACAAGGAAGGCCACCAUAUAUUGAUAAGGGGGUCAAUUCAUCAAGAGCACAUAACAACCCUAAAUAUUUAUGUGCCAUGUUCGGAAAUUUAAAAGAAUUCUAAAAUAAUAAGGGACUCGGACUCUCUAAUAGCAAGAACACAAGCAAAACUCCCAAGAACUCUGAUUUUAAAAUGAGUGAAGGACCUGAAAAGACAUUCCUUAGGAGACAUACAAGUGGCCAGAGGAGGUAUGAAAAAAGUGCUCAGCAGGGUAACCACAGGGAAGCGCAGCCCAGACCCACGGGGAGACACGGUCCCUUGUCACCGCGGUCGUCGCUGAAUGGCUGUUCUGUAAUGACGGCAAAUCACUGCCAGCGGGUGUGGAGAGAGGAGCAUCCCUCACUGCCAGGGGGAGCAAGCCCAUGCGGCUGUGCAGAGGACCAAGGGAAGACCCCUGCAAACAUCAACCAUGGAGCCAGCAUGCAGCCGGCACCGCUGAGCACGCACGUGAAGGAAUGGAGGUGUCCGUCCACUGCAGCCCUGCUCGUGCUGCUAAGCGAGGAAGCCAUCUGUGCAGAUGUGUGGAUAAAGGAAAUGCGCUGCAUGGACACAACACAGUACUGUUCACUCUUUACAAUGAAAAGGAAAUCCAGUCAUCCGCAACAUGGACAGCCUGGAGGACACCGUGCUGAGUGACACAAGCCAGACGAGACAAGAAAAGCAGGUACUGCAUGUGGCACUCACGCCCAGACUCUGCCCUGUCCUCCUCACCAAGCACAGAGCAGGACACAGAGGCACGGGCCCACCGUGACAGCUUAGAGCUCUCUCUCAGACACGACGGUCGGAGAUCCGCAGCACGGCAAGGAGUGGAUUUCACAACUCCUGAAAGAGUCCAUGUGCAACAUCCUCCCCAGCACGCAGAGUGUGAGGAGACUGUGACCCUAGUUCGAUUUGAUCAUUCCACAGCGUAAACACACAUCGAAGGGUCACGCUGCACUCACACACGCAU
This is a long non-coding RNA of Heterocephalus glaber (naked mole-rat), 3676 nucleotides long. NCBI's taxonomy places the organism in Eukaryota, Metazoa, Chordata, Mammalia, Rodentia, Bathyergidae. The record is from Ensembl.